UCGAGAAUCUUCGGCAAUGGGGGAAACCCUGACCGAGCGACGCCGCGUGCGGGAUGAAGGCCCUUGGGUUGUAAACCGCUGUCGUAAGGGAACAAAUCCAUAGGGGUACUCCCCUAUGGUUGAGUGAUCUUAGGAGGAAGGACGGGCUAAGUUCGUGCCAGCAGCCGCGGUAAGACGAACCGUCCAAACGUUAUUCGGUAUCACUGGGCUUAAAGAGUUCGUAGGCGGCCAGACAGGUCAGGUGUGAAAU
RNAcentral lists this ribosomal RNA (250 nucleotides) under uncultured bacterium. Its description in RNAcentral is "partial 16S ribosomal RNA". It matches the Rfam family "Bacterial small subunit ribosomal RNA", at positions 355 to 600 of the family's 1533-position model. The record is from RNAcentral.